UAGAGUUUGAUCAUGGCUCAGGACGAACGCUGGCGGCGUGCCUAAUACAUGCAAGUAGAACGCUGAAGAGAGGAGCUUGCUCUUCUUGGAUGAGUUGCGAACGGGUGAGUAACGCGUAGGUAACCUGCCUUGUAGCGGGGGAUAACUAUUGGAAACGAUAGCUAAUACCGCAUAACAAUGGAUGACACAUGUCAUUUAUUUGAAAGGGGCAAUUGUUCCACUACAAGAUGGACCUGCGUUGUAUUAGCUAGUAGGUGAGGUAAUGGCUCACCUAGGCGACGAUACAUAGCCGACCUGAGAGGGUGAUCGGCCACACUGGGACUGAGACACGGCCCAGACUCCUACGGGAGGCAGCAGUAGGGAAUCUUCGGCAAUGGGGGCAACCCUGACCGAGCGACGCCGCGUGAGUGAAGAAGGUUUUCGGAUCGUAAAGCUCUGUUGUAAGUCAAGAACGGGUGUGAGAGUGGAAAGUUCACACUGUGACGGUAGCUUACCAGAAAGGGACGGCUAACUACGUGCCAGCAGCCGCGGUAAUACGUAGGUCCCGAGCGUUGUCCGGAUUUAUUGGGCGUAAAGCGAGCGCAGGCGGUUUGAUAAGUCUGAAGUUAAAGGCUGUGGCUCAACCAUAGUUCGCUUUAGAAACUGUCAAACUUGAGUGCAGAAGGGGAGAGUGGAAUUCCAUGUGUAGCGGUGAAAUGCGUAGAUAUAUGGAGGAACACCGGUGGCGAAAGCGGCUCUCUGGUCUGUAACUGACGCUGAGGCUCGAAAGCGUGGGGAGCGAACAGGAUUAGAUACCCUGGUAGUCCACGCCGUAAACGAUGAGUGCUAGGUGUUGGAUCCUUUCCGGGAUUCAGUGCCGCAGCUAACGCAUUAAGCACUCCGCCUGGGGAGUACGACCGCAAGGUUGAAACUCAAAGGAAUUGAC
Molecule: ribosomal RNA, 925 nt
Filed under: uncultured Streptococcus sp.
Lineage: Bacteria; Bacillati; Bacillota; Bacilli; Lactobacillales; Streptococcaceae
Description: bacterial SSU rRNA
Rfam family: Bacterial small subunit ribosomal RNA
Source: RNAcentral